This 253-nucleotide ribosomal RNA is filed under the name uncultured bacterium. Its description in RNAcentral is "partial 16S ribosomal RNA". It matches the Rfam family "Bacterial small subunit ribosomal RNA", at positions 524 to 776 of the family's 1533-position model. The record is from RNAcentral.
UACGAGGGGGGCAAGCGUUGUUCGGAUUUAUUGGGCGUAAAGGGUGCGUAGGCGGUUUGGCAAGUCUUGUGUGAAAUCUUUGGGCUCAACCCAAAGUCUGCACAAGAAACUGCCGGGCUUGAGUAUGGGAGAGGUGAGUGGAAUUCCGAGUGUAGAGGUGAAAUUCGUAGAUAUUCGGAAGAACACCAGUGGCGAAGGCGGCUCACUGGACUGGUAUUGACGCUGAGGUGCGAAAGCGUGGGGAGCAAACAGG